This 324-nucleotide ribosomal RNA is filed under the name uncultured eukaryote. Its description in RNAcentral is "partial 18S ribosomal RNA". It matches the Rfam family "Eukaryotic small subunit ribosomal RNA", at positions 1470 to 1796 of the family's 1831-position model. The record is from RNAcentral.
CCCUUAGAUGUCCUGGGCUGCACGCGCGCUACACUGAUGUGUCCAGUAAGCACCUAACCUCUUCCGAAAGGAACGGGUAACCUUUGCAAAGCACAUCGUGAUGGGGAUAGAUUAUUGCAAUUAUUAGUCUUGAACGAGGAAUUCCUAGUAAGCACAAGUCAUCAGCUUGUGUUGAUUACGUCCCUGCCCUUUGUACACACCGCCCGUCGCUCCUACCGAUUGAAUGUUCCGGUGAGCUCUUCGGACUGCGCGGUCUGCAGUUUCUGCGUUCCGUGCGGAAAGUUGCGCAAACCUUAAAAUUUAGAGGAAGGAGAAGUCGUAACA